Oncorhynchus tshawytscha (Chinook salmon) is the source of this 1937-nucleotide long non-coding RNA. RefSeq lists it as uncharacterized. Lineage: Eukaryota; Metazoa; Chordata; Actinopteri; Salmoniformes; Salmonidae. The record is from RefSeq and is a predicted model, not a curated record. The transcript has 3 exons.
CCGAUGCAUCAUUUACAGUGAAAUGUUGAAUCAAUAUGGGUACAGUGAAGGUUUUAUUUCAGUAGAACUGUGUUCGUAUAAUACAGGAGUAUAUAAAAUAUAUAUAUAUAUGUGAAUCAGGGUAGAGCUCUACAUUGUAAAUAUCACUACCACUAAAUUCAGUCAAUUUGAUAGAAAAAGAUGAACGUUCUAGGUGUAAAACUAUCCCAGCGUUCUAGGUGUAAAACUAUCCAACGUUCUAGGUGUAAAACUAUCCCAGCGUUCUAGGUGUAAAACUAUCCCAGCGUUCUAGGUGUAAAACUAUCCCAGCGUUCUAGGUGUAAAACUAUCCCAGCGUUCUAGGUGUAAAACUAUCCCAGCGUUCUAGGUGUAAAACUAUCCCAACGUUCUAGGUGUAAAACUAUCCCAACGUUCUAGGUGUAAAACUAUCCCAGCGUUCUAGGUGUAAAACUAUCCCAACGUUCUAGGUGUAAAACUAUCCCAGCGUUCUAGGUGUAAAACUAUCCCAGCGUUCUAGGUGUAAAACUAUCCACGUUCUAGGUGUAAAACUAUCCCAGCGUUCUAGGUGUAAAACUAUCCCAGCGUUCUAGGUGUAAAACUAUCCCAACGUUCUAGGUGUAAAACUAUCCACGUUCUAGGUGUAAAACUAUCCCAGCGUUCUAGGUGUAAAACUAUCCCAGCGUUCUAGGUGUAAAACUAUCCCAGCGUUCUAGGUGUAAAACUAUCCACGUUCUAGGUGUAAAACUAUCCACGUUCUAGGUGUAAAACUAUCCCAGCGUUCUAGGUGUAAAACUAUCCCAGCGUUCUAGGUGUAAAACUAUCCACGUUCUAGGUGUAAAACUAUCCACGUUCUAGGUGUAAAACUAUCCCAGCGUUCUAGGUGUAAAACUAUCCCAGCGUUCUAGGUGUAAAACUAUCCCAACGUUCUAGGUGUAAAACUAUCCACGUUCUAGGUGUAAAACUAUCCCAGCGUUCUAGGUGUAAAACUAUCCACGUUCUAGGUGUAAAACUAUCCACGUUCUAGGUGUAAAACUAUCCACCGUUCUAGGUGUAAAACUAUCAACGCACAGUAAAGCCGUAGCGUCUUAUAUAAGUACUGAGUUACUGACUUUCCUGAGCUCUAUAUUACUCCACAAACUGGACACGAAACAUUAUCUCUGAUGGUCUCUGCAGUCUUUAGGUUUGAGGUUGGCGGAUAAGGGAUAGCCUGGUAUUUAGCUACGUUUCCCGGUUGCUUCCCUGGGAAACAAAGGUAGGCUUAGCAUUCAGUCAGGUUUAACCAGGCUAGAUAAAGGAUGUUGUGACUAUGAAAUGCACUGUCCUUGUUUUAGUUCUCACUACCUUCAUACGAGGAAUGAGUCCAACACAAGGUUGUCAGAAUCGCUUCGUUGACGGAGCCCGAUCAAUAAAAAAUCCUACCAAACCCCCAAUCAAUAACUCCUAGCAAUGGGGAAAAAAUCACUUGAAUUGUUUUUUUCGAUUAGCCAUAAUUUUGGAAUCAAUGCCGACACCCCGAAACAAAUCAGAAUUUUCACUAAUCACUUCACUAGGCUUAACGAGCAAAACGCCCAAUCACAUUCAUUAGGGCACCCAACAGAAAACGUUUCAAAAUGUUUUGCAACAUUGUCCAUGUAGUCCCAAUUUGUUUCUUUGUAUUUGAUGCUUAAUGAACGUGACCCAUGCAACCCUUGGGAUAAGUGUUGGUUCACAAUCUUCAUAGGUAGAUGCUUCCGAAUCAAUUCCUUCAUUUUUGGAAUCAAAGGCCCCAAUCGGUUAAUUGAAUCUAACCCAUCCGUACUUCAUACUGAACUCUGCGCUAGACUGAAUAACCUAAACGGCCCAAUCUUUCGACGUUAGUUAACCCAUCUAUUUCAAAGAUGCUUCCUGAGAUGCCCGGGCCUACAUGUAGAUACAGUACACUGUAGCCUCUCAACAGA